This 418-nucleotide ribosomal RNA is filed under the name uncultured bacterium. RNAcentral's name for it is "bacterial SSU rRNA". It matches the Rfam family "Bacterial small subunit ribosomal RNA", at positions 917 to 1333 of the family's 1533-position model. The record is from RNAcentral.
GGACCCGCACAAGUAGUGGAGCAUGUGGUUUAAUUCGAAGAUACGCGCAGAACCUUACCAACACUUGACAUGUUCGUCGCGACUUUAAGAGAUUAAAGUUUUCGGUUCGGCCGGACGAAACACAGGUGCUGCAUGGCUGUCGUCAGCUCGUGUCGUGAGAUGUUGGGUUAAGUCCCGCAACGAGCGCAACCCUCACUUUUAGUUGCCAUCAUUUAGUUGGGCACUCUGAAAGAACUGCCAGUGAUAAGCUGGAGGAAGGUGGGGAUGACGUCAAGUCCUCAUGGCCCUUACGUGUUGGGCUACACACGUGCUACAAUGGUAUUUACAACAGGAAGCAAGACGGCGACGUUAAGCAAAUCCUUAAAAGAUACCUCAGUUCGGAUUGCACUCUGCAACUCGACUCUAUGAAGCUGGAAUC